UUUAACAUGAGAGUUUGAUCCUGGCUCAGGAUGAACGCUGGCGGCGUGCUUAACACAUGCAAGUCGAACGAAGCAAUCUAGCGGAAGUUUUCGGAUGGAAG
Molecule: ribosomal RNA, 101 nt
Filed under: Clostridium sp. AF29-8BH
Lineage: Bacteria; Bacillati; Bacillota; Clostridia; Eubacteriales; Clostridiaceae
Description: partial 16S ribosomal RNA
Rfam family: Bacterial small subunit ribosomal RNA
Source: RNAcentral